This 1378-nucleotide ribosomal RNA is filed under the name metagenome. RNAcentral describes it as "bacterial LSU rRNA". It matches the Rfam family "Bacterial large subunit ribosomal RNA", at positions 1552 to 2925 of the family's 2925-position model. The record is from RNAcentral.
UAUACCGAGGCCAAUGAUCGAGCCAGCUUGCUGGUGAAGUGACUGAACGAGGUUCCAGGAAAAGCCACUAAGCUUCAGCUACACACGACCGUACCGCAAACCGACACUGGUGCGCGAGAUGAGUAUUCUAAGGCGCUUGAGAGAACUCAGGAGAAGGAACUCGCAAAUUGACACCGUAACUUCGGAAGAAGGUGUGCCCUAGUAGUGUGAAGUGAACAACGGAGCAUGAAUGGGUUGCAAAAAAUCGGUGGCUGCGACUGUUUAUUAAAAACACAGCACUCUGCAAACACGUAAGUGGACGUAUAGGGUGUGACGCCUGCCCGGUGCUGGAAGAUUAAAUGAUGGGGUGCAAGCUCUUGAUUGAAGUACCAGUAAACGGCGGCCGUAACGAUAACGGUCCUAAGGUAGCGAAAUUUCUUGUCGGGUAAGUUCCGACCUGCACGAAUGGCGUAACGAUGGCCACACUGUCUCCUCCUGAGACUCAGCGAAGUUGAAAUGUUUGUGAUGAUGCAAUCUCCCCGCGGAAAGACGGAAAGACCCCAUGAACCUUUACUGUAGCUUUGUAUUGGACUUUGAACAGAUCUGUGUAGGAUAGGUGGGAGGCUUUGAAGCAGGGUCGCUAGAUCUUGUGGAGCCAACGUUGAAAUACCACCCUGGUGUGUUUGAGGUUCUAACCUAGGUCCAUUAUCUGGAUCGGGGACAGUGCAUGGUAGGCAGUUUGACUGGGGCGGUCUCCUCCCAAAGCGUAACGGAGGAGUUCGAAGGUACGCUAGUUACGGUCGGACAUCGUGACGAUAGUGCAAUGGCAUAAGCGUGCUUAACUGCGAGACUGACAAGUCGAGCAGAUGCGAAAGCAGGACAUAGUGAUCCGGUGGUUCUGUAUGGAAGGGCCAUCGCUCAACGGAUAAAAGGUACUCUGGGGAUAACAGGCUGAUACCGCCCAAGAGUUCAUAUCGACGGCGGUGUUUGGCACCUCGAUGUCGGCUCAUCUCAUCCUGGGGCUGUAGCCGGUCCCAAGGGUAUGGCUGUUCGCCAUUUAAAGAGGUACGUGAGCUGGGUUUAAAACGUCGUGAGACAGUUUGGUCCCUAUCUUCCGUGGGCGCUGCAGAUUUGAGGAAGCCUGCUCCUAGUACGAGAGGACCGGAGUGGACACACCUCUGGUGUAUCGGUUGUCACGCCAGUGGCAUUGCCGAGUAGCUAAGUGUGGAAGAGAUAACCGCUGAAAGCAUCUAAGCGGGAAACUCGUUUCAAGAUGAGAUCUGCCGGGGCCUUGAGCCCCCUGAAGAGUCGUUCAAGACCAGGACGUUGAUAGGUCAGGUGUGGAAGCGCAGUAAUGCGUUAAGCUAACUGAUACUAAUUGCUCGUGCGGCUUGACCGA